Molecule: ribosomal RNA, 253 nt
Filed under: uncultured bacterium
Lineage: Bacteria
Description: partial 16S ribosomal RNA
Rfam family: Bacterial small subunit ribosomal RNA
Source: RNAcentral
UACGGAGGGUGCAAGCGUUAAUCGGAAUUACUGGGCGUAAAGGGUGCGUAGGUGGUUUAAUAAGUUAGCUGUGAAAUACCUGGGCUUAACCUGGGCAGGUCAUCUAAGACUGUUAGACUAGAGUAUGGGAGAGGGUAGUGGAAUUUCCGGUGUAGCGGUGAAAUGCGUAGAUAUCGGAAGGAACACCGGUGGCGAAGGCGUCUACCUGGCCUAAUACUGACACUGAAGCACGAAAGCGUGGGGAGCAAACAGG